CCCAAUGUGAACGUUACCAAACUGUUGCCUCGGCGGGGUCACGCCCCGGGUGCGUCGCAGCCCCGGAACCAGGCGCCCGCCGGAGGAACCAACCAAACUCUUUCUGUAGUCCCCUCGCGGACGUAUUUCUUACAGCUCUGAGCAAAAAUUCAAAAUGAAUCAAAACUUUCAACAACGGAUCUCUUGGUUCUGGCAUCGAUGAAGAACGCAGCGAAAUGCGAUAAGUAAUGUGAAUUGCAGAAUUCAGUGAAUCAUCGAAUCUUUGAACGCACAUUGCGCCCGCCAGUAUUCUGGCGGGCAUGCCUGUCCGAGCGUCAUUUCAACCCUCGAACCCCUCCGGGGGAUCGGCGUUGGGGAUCGGGACCCCUCACACGGGUGCCGGCCCCGAAAUACAGUGGCGGUCUCGCCGCAGCCUCUCCUGCGCAGUAGUUUGCACAACUCGCACCGGGAGCGCGGCGCGUCCACGUCCGUAAAACACCCAACUUUCUGAAAUGUUGACCUCGGAUCAGGUAGGAAUACCCGCUGAACUUAAGCAUAUCAAAAGCCGGAGGAAA
This 554-nucleotide ribosomal RNA is filed under the name Trichoderma asperelloides. Its description in RNAcentral is "eukaryotic LSU rRNA". The stretch from base 164 to 317 matches the Rfam family "5.8S ribosomal RNA". The record is from RNAcentral. Lineage: Eukaryota; Fungi; Ascomycota; Sordariomycetes; Hypocreales; Hypocreaceae.